UGUGCAUGCAGUCUGCACUGUAUCAAACUGCUGAAGUCUGAACAAAGGUGGACUUUCUCGCCGUAGCUUGAUCCCUGCUGCACUGGAAGAGACACCGCUAAUGGAGGAUAGUGGCGGGACCCAUCGCCACUCGGCACCCGCUGAGUCGACACAUUGCACCCAUUCAGAAAGAUUGACAUUAAAGCAAGGAUGAUGUAAACAUGAAGAAAG
Syngnathoides biaculeatus (alligator pipefish) is the source of this 210-nucleotide long non-coding RNA. RefSeq lists it as uncharacterized. The record is from RefSeq and is a predicted model, not a curated record. Lineage: Eukaryota; Metazoa; Chordata; Actinopteri; Syngnathiformes; Syngnathidae. The transcript has 3 exons.